CUACGUGCCAGCAGCCGCGGUAAUACGUAGGGUGCGAGCGUUAAUCGGAAUUACUGGGCGUAAAGCGGGCGCAGACGGUUACUUAAGCAGGAUGUGAAAUCCCCGGGCUCAACCUGGGAACUGCGUUCUGAACUGGGUGACUAGAGUGUGUCAGAGGGAGGUAGAAUUCCACGUGUAGCAGUGAAAUGCGUAGAGAUGUGGAGGAAUACCGAUGGCGAAGGCAGCCUCCUGGGAUAACACUGACGUUCAUGCUCGAAAGCGUGGGUAGCAAACAGGAUUAGAUACCCUGGUAGUCCACGCCCUAAACGAUGUCAAUUAGCUGUUGGGCAACUUGAUUGCUUAGUAGCGAAGCUAACGCGUGAAAUUGACCGCCUGGGGAGUACGGUCGCAAGAUUAAAACUCAAAGGAAUUGACGGGGACCCGCACAAGCGGUGGAUGAUGUGGAUUAAUUCGAUGCAACGCGAAGAACCUUACCUGGUCUUGACAU
Molecule: ribosomal RNA, 487 nt
Filed under: uncultured bacterium
Lineage: Bacteria
Description: bacterial SSU rRNA
Rfam family: Bacterial small subunit ribosomal RNA
Source: RNAcentral